GCCAUAAAACACUGAAGAUGUCCUAAGACUCUAAUGACUUAUAAAUACUCUCCUUUCAUCUGCAGUUCCCUGAAAUCUGUUCAGCUGGAUGUGUGGUUUGGGAGAGAUGAAGUCUCAGGAUUUCUGAAUUCUACUUUAAGAUGGAGAUAAGUCAUAUAAGCUCUCUCUAAGCCUUUUUCCUGGAGAUGUUAGCCAAAAUGCCACCAAAAU
Molecule: long non-coding RNA, 210 nt
Filed under: Coturnix japonica (Japanese quail)
Lineage: Eukaryota; Metazoa; Chordata; Aves; Galliformes; Phasianidae
Description: lncRNA (ENSCJPG00005019086.1)
Source: RNAcentral